GAUGAAGAACGUAGUGAAAUGCGAUACGUAAUGUGAAUUGCAGAAUUCAGUGAAUCAUCGAAUCUUUGAACGCAUAUUGCGCUCUUUGGUAUUCCGAAGAGCAUGCUUGUUUGAGUAUCAGUAAACACCUCAACCUCUUCUUGAUUUUUCAAAAGGAGGGUGGACUUGAGCUAUCCCAACAACCUUUACCGGUCGGCGGGCGGCUUGAAAUGCAGGUGCAGCUGGACUUUUAUCUGAGCUAAAAGCAUAUCUAUUUAGUCCUCGUCAAACAGGAUUAUUACUUUUGCUGCAGCUAACAUAAAGGAUAAUUGUCCUCUUUGCUGACUGAUGCAGGAUUUUACGACACUUUAUGUGUUGUUCAACUCGAUCUCAAAUCAAGUAAGACUACCCGCUGAACUUAAGCAUAUCAAUAAGCUGAGGA
RNAcentral lists this unclassified non-coding RNA (421 nucleotides) under soil metagenome. RNAcentral's name for it is "partial contains 5.8S ribosomal RNA, internal transcribed spacer 2, and large subunit ribosomal RNA". The stretch from base 1 to 120 matches the Rfam family "5.8S ribosomal RNA", at positions 35 to 154 of the family's 154-position model. The record is from RNAcentral.